AUCAGAAUUGAAUUUCUCAUUUGGACAAGAGUACAGACUUGAAUUUCUCAUUACCAUAUCACAAUCAUUAUAAGCAACUUGAAUUCCAAAGCUUAGAGAUUUGACUAACCAAUGUAAUCUGUAUGCAUGUGAUAGUUACAAAAAAACAAUUGAUUAGAAUUGAAUUUCUCAUCUUGGCUAACAAUAUAAAGGCCAAAAUGCAGGCUUUGAAAGAGCAGCAGAGUUCCUAUAGGAUCCUAUAUCCCAACCAUAUCAUCAAGUCUGUGAUUGGAUUCAAAAUUCAGUGUAAAAAUAAGCCAUAAAUAAAAUUAAUCAAACCAAAGUGCAGACCUUCUCUACCGAGGAAUGGUUUGCACAUCUUCAUAACAAGCUUCUCUAACAAAUUCAAUGAUCAAUUUUGCAACAGAAUCAGGCUUUUCCACAUGAGGAAUAUGACCACACUCUGGUAUCUGUCGUAUGAUUGCAUUUGGAAGUUCGGAGUGCAAUCUCACUGCUAGUUUGUUGCUAAUAAUUUGGUCAUCCUCACCCCAAAUUAUAAGUGUCCUCUUCUUAACCUUCUCUAUCUGAGCAUUGACAUUAUAACCGCCGCUAAUCAUAAAAUUCACAGUUGCAUCCUCCCACCAAGGAUAUAAACAGUGUAGGCGGCCCACAUUCAUCCAGUCAAUGCUGGUGCUUAAAGAUAUACCAUUGAAGGCCAGAAAAUUAACAUACAAGCGGAGGGGGACACUCUUCAAUAAAUAAACCCCAGCGUAUGCUAAUGCUCUUGGUAACUUGGCUAGGUCUCCUGUGCCUUCAGCAUACACACUUGCAUCAAUGAAAACCAGUUUCUCUACCUGAAAAGAUAACUUAAAAAAUAUCAGCUUAUGGCCAUCAGAUGCAAUAUAACUUUUAUCACUUUCUUAAAAUAUUUACAUUCUUUAGGCACAAAUGUAAAUGCUCAGUUACUGAUAAUGUAUUCAAUAUUUACAGCUUCUGGAUGGUUGACAGCAAAGUCAAUUGCGACAGCAGCACCAAGGCUUGGUCCAACCAAGAUGAUGGGUCUCCUUAUGUGGGACCUCCAAAACUGCAGUCAGUAUGAAGUGAGCCAAGUCAAUCUUAGAACACUGUAAAAAAAGUGAAAAUAAUAAUAAAUUGUUCAAAUACUCGCUGCUUUAAGCCUUGAUCCCCAUCCCGACUUCAUCGAGGGAAAAACAAGGACAAAGUCACAAUUUGGAAACUCCAUGACAGAGCAUCAAAUGUCAUUCUAUUUAUUGCAUGGUAAAUUUGAUAGCAUAUAAGCUGAUAUAUUGUGGAGUAUGUUUCUAUGUUAUGGUCUGACCUUGACAUAAAAUUAAACAUUUUCCUUAGAUAUAUUAGCCAAGAAUAUGAGAAAUUUUGCUUCAUAUAUCCAAGUCAAGACUCAAAAUGAUGAGAAAAAUUAGACGAAGUACCUGGUACAAGUGAUUGCGCUUAGACGCAACAUCACAUGAGGGCAGUCUUUCUGGAAACCAUAGGGGGAAAAGGGGUUAUAAUUUGGGGCAAGGAAGAAAGAAAGAUAUAUGUAGAAUUUCAACCACAUGAAAACGUGCUAAGGCAUGCACAACAAACCUAAAUCAGAGAAACCCCAACCAAGAAUGUCAACAGCCCAAGUCUCCAUGCCAGCCUCCUCAAGCAGUGGAAAUGUAUAUCUCCAUUCUAAACAAGAACUGAAUUAUAACAUGUAGUGAACUCUAGAGACACAUUAAUCAGCUACUCUUUUUCUUUUCUAUUUUUGGUGAAACAAAUUGCAAUAUUGAAUACAUUAUUAGAGACCUGUCAAAACCAUGGAGCAGAACCAUUGGACUUGUCUUGCUUUGUACCAAAGGCUUGACACAACUACUCAUGAUACAUCUCUCUGAGAAACUAACCUACAUUUUGAGCAAGAAUACUGAUGUUAAUGAAGAUACCCAAUUUGAGAUGUCUUCCGAAUUAGAAGUAAGCAAGAUGAAACUUGAGACCACAGAAUCAUGGCAGACUGGAAAUAGGUGAAAUUUUGUUCAGAUUCACAAACUCUGAUUAGAUAAUAGACAGCGAAAAAGACCAAGAAAUUUGUUACGUAAAAAUUAAACACAAAUGUUACGUUAUGUCAAUUUUCAUCAAAGUCUCCUACUAAACAAAAAAAUCCAAGUCCCAGCUUUUAAAAACCUCAAAAAAUCGACAUCCUUAUUAAUUGCAAUCAAAACCCAUAAAACUAUAGCCUGAGACAUUCAAGUUAAAUCAUUUCAUCUAUCUACUGGAACCAAAACUAAAUCAUUGGCAAGGCUUGGAAGUUGGAACAGUAAUAAAAGCAAAGGCUAUUACACACAAGUCAAGGAGAAAUGGAUUUCUGUCCUCUGGCAUUACUGAGUAUAUUUAUUCUGAAUUCUAUCGCAUCCAACUACCUUAUCAGUAACCUUUUACAGGCCAAUACUCAAAUCUCAGAGACAAAAGAACAUGCAUCCAAAGACCGAAAAAUCUGAGAAGCUAUCAGAUAAACUAAUCACUAAAGAAAGAGCUAACAACGAAAAAAAAUAUAAAAAGAAAAAUGAGUGUACAGGUAGCCUUUCGAUUCUUGAGGCUAGCUUUCUUGCAAAAGGGUCUUUGAUAUUCUCAACUUCACUGGGCAGAAAAGAAGGAAAAUUUUGCGCGAAAACUGCCAAACGCUUUCGGGCUCUGCAUUUUCUGGGCAUUAACAAUGCAGGAGUAGCUGUAAGGGCGAACAUUUUCUUGGCACCCGAGGUUUCUCUAUCCCUCCAUCGUAUAUUACAGGCUCUACGAGAACAGAGAAGUGGGAUAAGUCGUCUGAGAACCAGUGCCGUUUGGCCCAUACCAGUGGACUGC
RNAcentral lists this unclassified non-coding RNA (2838 nucleotides) under Hevea brasiliensis (rubber tree). Lineage: Eukaryota; Viridiplantae; Streptophyta; Magnoliopsida; Malpighiales; Euphorbiaceae. The record is from RNAcentral.